AGAGUUUGAUCAUGGCUCAGGAUGAACGCUGGCGGCGUGCCUAAUACAUGCAAGUCGAGCGAACCACUUCGGUUGGUGAGCGGCGAACGGGGUGAGUAACACGUAGGUGAUCUGCCCAUCAGACGGGGACAACGAUUGGAAACGAUCGCUAAUACCGGAUAGGACGAAAGUUUAAAGGUGCUUCUGGCACCGCUGAUGGAUGAGCGUGCGGCGCAUUAGCUAGUUGGUAGGGUAAAGGCCUACCAAGGCGACGAUGCGUAGCCGACCUGAGAGGGUGAACGGCCACACUGGGACUGAGACACGGCCCAGACUCCUACGGGAGGCAGCAGUAGGGAAUCUUCGGCAAUGGGCGAAAGCCUGACCGAGCAACGCCGCGUGAAUGAUGAAGGCCUUCGGGUUGUAAAAUUCUGUUAUAAGGGAAGAACGACUUUAGUAGGAAAUGGCUAGAGUGUGACGGUACCUUAUGAGAAAGCCACGGCUAACUACGUGCCAGCAGCCGCGGUAAUACGUAGGUGGCGAGCGUUAUCCGGAAUUAUUGGGCGUAAAGAGCGCGCAGGUGGUUGAUUAAGUCUGAUGUGAAAGCCCACGGCUUAACCGUGGAGGGUCAUUGGAAACUGGUCGACUUGAGUGCAGAAGAGGGAAGUGGAAUUCCAUGUGUAGCGGUGAAAUGCGUAGAGAUAUGGAGGAACACCAGUGGCGAAGGCGGCUUCCUGGUCUGUAACUGACACUGAGGCGCGAAAGCGUGGGGAGCAAACAGGAUUAGAUACCCUGGUAGUCCACGCCGUAAACGAUGAGUGCUAAGUGUUGGGGGUCGAACCUCAGUGCUGAAGUUAACGCAUUAAGCACUCCGCCUGGGGAGUACGGUCGCAAGACUGAAACUCAAAGGAAUUGACGG
This 895-nucleotide ribosomal RNA is filed under the name uncultured bacterium. Its description in RNAcentral is "bacterial SSU rRNA". It matches the Rfam family "Bacterial small subunit ribosomal RNA", at positions 8 to 916 of the family's 1533-position model. The record is from RNAcentral.